GCGGGCGUAGCUCAAUGGUAGAGCAGCGCCAGCUUCCCAAGCUGGACACGCGGGUUCGAUUCCCGUCGCCCGCU
This 74-nucleotide transfer RNA is filed under the name Luteococcus japonicus. RNAcentral's name for it is "tRNA-Gly". It matches the Rfam family "tRNA". Rfam says of the family: Transfer RNA (tRNA) molecules are approximately 80 nucleotides in length. Their secondary structure includes four short double-helical elements and three loops (D, anti-codon, and T loops). The record is from RNAcentral. Lineage: Bacteria; Bacillati; Actinomycetota; Actinomycetes; Propionibacteriales; Propionibacteriaceae.